This 36-nucleotide ribosomal RNA is filed under the name Pezicula acericola. RNAcentral's name for it is "partial 18S ribosomal RNA". RNAcentral also lists the same sequence under 7 other names. Lineage: Eukaryota; Fungi; Ascomycota; Leotiomycetes; Helotiales; Dermateaceae. The record is from RNAcentral.
UAACAAGGUCUCCGUAGGUGAACCUGCGGAGGGAUC